Molecule: long non-coding RNA, 3153 nt
Organism: Oryzias melastigma (Indian medaka)
Lineage: Eukaryota; Metazoa; Chordata; Actinopteri; Beloniformes; Adrianichthyidae
Exons: 2
Source: RefSeq, a predicted model, not a curated record
CUUUUAUCCUCAUAACAUUAAGACUUUUUUUUAGACAAAUGUAGACUUUUCUUCUAUUUGCGCAACUUUUUUGUACAGAUUUUACUUUCCUGAAAACGUUUUUUUUCCGAUUUCCCUUUUUUGCAUACAUUUGACUGUAUUCUCAUUAUUUUAUGCCUACAUUCUGGAAAACCUUUUUUUCAAAAUAUUGCCAUUUUUAUGCAUAAUUUUGACUUUUUCACAUAAAUUGAAGACCACUUUCUUAUAUGUUUUUUUAAUAUUAGCCCCAACUCUGCGUUGAGACCUGGGGACUUAAAGAAAAAAAGAAGAGCAGGAGUUCUUUCUUUCAGAAUUUCCGCUGAUGAUUUAAUGUAUUCAUAAUGAAAAAUAAUAUGUGCCUCAUAAAUAUCUGCAGCAGAGACGUGGUGUCAGGUGCCCCAAGUGAGCAGAGUAUAUUGCCAUGCCAGGUAGUAAAUGUUGGGUAUAGGAAAGCUUGGCCUGCCCGCCUCAUUCUACGUCUUAUGGCUUCACUGCGCUCAUUUAUACCGGUGUGCUUAAACGGUGACAUACCAUAACUCAACACCUUCUGCAGCACAAAAAGCUGCAACACUGCUGAGGCGGAGCCGGCUGGAGGUGGGUACGGAGCUCUGCGGAGUGCGGGGAAAGAGGGGGAAAUGUGCAAAGAAUUACGGAGAAAAAAAGGUGCGUGUGUGCAUGUGUGUGGUACAUUUGUUUUACAUCCAAAUGCCUUUGUUAUGAGUCAUUGCCUGAAGCAGAACAAAUUACUGUAAAUGGAGCUAUUAGUGAAACAUGGAGGGCGAAAGGAGGAAUUCAAAUUAAAGUUUAGCUUGCUGGCCACUUAUUUUCCCUCCAUCUGCAUAAUUAUGGUAAGGACACCGAGUACUCGCAUGUAUGUGUGUGUACAGAUCGGAGGAGGGGGGGUUGCUCGUACAUGACCAAACAUGCGGGGUCGCUCCGGGUUUCUUUGAUUUGCCAAGGCUAUAAACACCCAGCAAGUCGCUCUCUAGAUAAUCAGCAGACUCACAACAAGCCAUUCUAAUUAUGAGGAUGAUGUCAAAGCGGGAGAGCAGCCAAAGCCGCAGAAGACACGAUUCUAAACAUAACAAACUCUGCAUCCAUACUGUCAUUUCUGCUCCAAUGGCGGAGCGUCGGAGGCUAAAAAAUGCGUCGGCAUCACUCCAGCGCUCCAGAACCAUCACAAGCCCUCGCUCCGGUCCUAACCGGCACAUCGGCUCAAGAGCAAAAGCGGCGCCAGAAAAGCCUCCUGAAGCUCCCCAUUACCCACUUCAGGGGUGUUAGAGCCGCCGACUAAACCUGUGGGAGAAAAAGCCCCCGUCCUGGAGAUUACUCCACACAUCCCAUAAUAUUAAGGACGAAGACUAAAACUUAAAGGACAUUUUCUGACAGAAAUGAUGAUGUAAUGCUGUUUUUCUCAGAUGAUCUUAUUAAAAAGUUAUGAAAAUACAGAAUUACAGUGAACUAAAAUCAACGUUUAGUCCAUUCUAAGGAAACUAAAUGGUGCCAAAAAUAGAUUAAAGUCUAGGAAUCAUUCUUUCAAUUGUGACAGUUUUCUGGACCAGUUGUCCCUAACCCACGUAUUGUUAGCAACGGUCCAUUGGACAGAUGAAAAAAAAAAAUAAAAAAUUUUCAAUUUAAUUCAUAAUCUAAUUCUGAAGGAAGUUUUAUUUUGAAAAACUACUGGAUUCUCUCCUCUUUCCUGACACAUGUCAAGUAAAAAAUCCUUCCACUACUUUCCUAAAGCGGCUGCUCCGACAGAUAAAUUAAGACAACAAAUGUAUUUGGAAAAUUUAGUUUAACAGAAAAGAGGAAACAAAAAAAGAGCUUUCGACUUCAAAAUAAAAGACUUCUAUAUUUGGCAGACACAAACCAGAAGUCUUUACUUCAAAUAAGCAUCCUACGAGGAUGCAGAUAUGCAUUACUAUUAUGGUCUGUGGGAAAAUACUAAUUUUAGUGACAGAAUUCUUAUGUAUUUUAUUAUUUUGUAUUAAAUCACUUUAUUUAUUAAUCCUUAAAGGAGUUAAGAUUUUUUUCAAUACUUGGUCAUAAAAUACAGACAUAUUUCAGACGUAUUCAUUGACUAAAAUAUUUUAUGUAUUUACUUUCCGCAAAAUAAUACAAAUGACAUUGGAGCAGAAAGAGGAAAACUUAAAAUUAAGUCUACAACAAUCACAGAAGUUUUGUUGACCUUUGACCCUUUGGAAGAGGCCGCCAUCUUAAGUAAAAAAAAAAAAAAAACUUUUGUACCAGCUACAAACAAAAACUCAUCCUCAAGAUUUUUGUCCUCUAACUUCUUGGGCAUCAUUGGGAAGCAAUUGUGCAAAAAUGUUGCAAUUAGAAGUUGUAGAUUUUGAACGGCGUGCGCGUGGCGAGCUAGCAAAAGUGGCGUUCUCCUACUACUUGCACAUUAUUUACCAGAAAAUUGUGAAAAUGUAAAGCAUGGAUCUCAAUCAGAAGUUGAACAAAAUUAUAUAAAAUAGGAGAUGAAAAUUUUUAGGAAUGUGGGCGUGGCUAACAAAAACCUUUGUUGCUAAGGAAAUCCAAAAAUGUACUUUUGACGAUUCUUCUGAAACUUACAUCUAUCUGUUCGGUAUCACCAGGUGACCAAAAGGUGCUAUGGAGAUAAAACCAACAGAAAAGCUGUUAUUUUGAAAACAAUGGAUUUUACAUCAGUUGGUCACAUCAAAUGUGGGCUCAUAGCUUUAAUUUUAAAUUUAAUUUAAAAUAUUUUUCAGAAAGAUAACUUACUGUUUUACAAAAGCAAACCUUUUCUCCCGAAGUAUGUGGCAUUGCAACGAUGUAGGAGGUAAAAAAGCAGAGGCAGGUGAGCAGCUUGACAGCAGAGCUGAGAGGCGAGCAUGUUUCAUGAUGGAAAUAUAAGGAAUAAUUUAUGCAGCAGUCAACCUUUAGUUAUCAAAUAAAUAUAAAAUAUAUGCACAUAUAUAGUGUUUGUCUUGUGUGCCAUCUAACCAUGUGUUUCAUGUUUAAGAAGGCAAACAAACAACUGAUUUGUGUGAAGGCAGCAGGAGGAUGGAGGGCUGCAUGACAAUAUGUACUUUACUGACUUAAACAUGAUUUACGUAGUGGAAACAUUGAAAUAAAGUUUGUUCACAGAUUCAAGUAAACUUGUAGGAA